CGUUUCAUUUCAACUCUGAGCGUCCACGGACGCAGUAUCUCUCCUAACUUUCUCCAUCUAUUUCUUUUUUUUUUAUUCUUUUUUUUUUAUUUCUCCUUCUCUCAACUCAAGAACGAUCCUUAAACAAGUGCUAAUAACAUCUUUCCUCUACAAAAUUUAAUACGUCUUAAAUUAAUCCCGAAAUCGAACGAACGAAAGCUGAUAGUACACGAUGAAGCCCACAAAAACGACGAGUUCGUUUACACGGAAGAUGAUGAUGGCCUCAGAGCCGGCCAACGGUAAUAGCAUGCCGUCGGUCAUCCUGGGGUCGUCCUCGGUGGUGGGAACCAGUUCGGCCGCCUCGUCCAUGUCGAGCCUGACGCUCCGUGACCAGCAGCACCACGUCGAAGGAGCCAAGGAGCGCAAAGAGCGACAGAUGCGUCGCUUGGCCGCCGAAAUGGACGACCAACGAUCAAAAUUUGAACGCGACAAGGCGGAAGCGCUGAGCCAUCAAAAGGAGGCCAUGAACCGCGCCUUUCGCGUCCAGCUGGCCAAAUUGCUCAAAGAGAAGGAGGAGCUGCAGCGAAAAUGUCAGACGCUGCAGUCCAAGGAGCCGAACGGAAAAAUCACCGGCAACGGCCUCGCUAAUGCAGCGGCCGCCUCGAGCCAAGCGGCCGCCGCUGAAAUGCUGAAAUUAAUUCACGAAAAUUCCAUCCUGCGCAUCGACAAGAAGAAACAGGAGGAACAACUGCAGCUGAUGAGGGAAAGUGAGCAGCACCGGUUCGAGAAUAUGCGCAGUCUACUUGAUGACAAGGCUCGUGAGUUGAUCACGUUCCAGAAGCAGUUGCGGCAACAGAUCGCCCGUUUGCGUGAGGAAUCCCGGACCAAAGAUCGUGUCAUUUCUCACCUGGAAUCGGAGCUGCGCGUUCAAACCGGACGGGCCCAGCAAUUCCGCGACAUCCUCGAGCAGUCACUCCUCACGGCCGCCAGCCGUGGCAGCCUUUCCGGUCAACAACACAACCACAAUGAGCGCGACGAACUGAUUGCCCGCGAACGCAAACUCCAAGUCCUGGUGGAUGAUCUUCGGGAGACGAUGCGGCAUCAGCAAGACACCUUCGCUCACGAGAAAAAAGAACUGCUCCGCCGGUUAAGUGAGACGGAACGCCAGCAAGGUUCAUUGCGCCAGAAGAACAAACAGGUCCUGACCCGCAACGUCCAGUUGGCUGUCAAGAGCCAAGAAUUAGCCGAAACAGUCAAGAACCUCCAGCAACAGCCGCCGGCCGGUGGAAAUAUGUCGACGGCAGCACCCGACACAACCAAUUUGAAGAGAAGUUUGACGAGACCCAACGUUAAUCAACUAGGCUCGCCAUCCAAGAAUGACAAGCAGCGGCGAAUGGAGUACGUCCAACAAAUCCAGAAAUUGCGCAAAGAGCAACGCUACUACUCCAUGUGGGAACUGCCGCCAUUGCUCGAAGUCGACACGGACGGCCUGGGCUCUGAUGGCAAUGCCGACUCGGACGGUUCCUUGUCUCCGGCCGCUACCUCGGGCGUUACGUCCUGUUCUUCCGACUCGGCCUGGAGCGAGGACACGCGACGGGAAUUGGAAGUGUUGUUCUCACAGCUGUCGCGGGAGCAUUCCGAUUUGCAGCGCAACUACCAACUGCUCCACGAGAAGUUGCGCCAGCUGACGUGCUUUUCCGACGCCGACGCGGCCAACGUCAACUACGCCACCUUGCAGGCCGACUACAACGCGGCCAGAGCCCGAAUCCGCGACCUGGAGGAGAUCCUGCAGCUGAAAAACAAUCGCGAACGAGAGGCCAGUGACGGAGCCAACGCCGGACGCCCGACGGUCGUUCCUUCUCUGCUGGAAAUCCAGGCCAAAUUCGUUCGCGAGAAGCACAUCCAGCAAACGCAGAUGGCCAUCCUGGUCAAACGUCUCGAGGAGGCCAAAGACAGGCACCAAUCUGUCCAGGCGGAGCUGAACGAAGCGCGAGAUCAGAACGAGUUGCUCGAGUUCCGCAUUCUCGAAUUGGAAGAGAUCCAAGAAAGGGCGCCGUCACAGUGCUCGACCGAUCAGCGCGACCGUAAGGAUGUCUGCACCGACACGGAUUCGGAUGACGUAUCGGUCGGAGAUUCGGGCAUUACUUCGCUGGCUUCACUCAUGGUCGAAUGUCCGUCACCAGUCUUGCCCAGAAGCCCGUGCAGCAGCGGAUCGUCACUGGACUCUGACUACCUGGGCGAAAAGAUCUCGUCGGUCAAAGCAGAACUGCAAUUGAUGGUCUCCUCGCUAAAUGAUCCGUCUCAGAAAACCGUGCUGGCCCAGCUUCAGGCGCUGUUGGGCGUCUGCCAGUCUCGACUGGCCCACAAGAGUCCCGUCGCCAGUGAGACUUCCAACUGGGACUGGCAGCUGCAGGAGAGUGGCAUCUUUGAAGAGGACCACCACCAUUCCACCGAUGGAUCCACUCAGACGGACGCCGUCGAGUUCGAUGGACACAAUGGCGAUGUCAGCAUCCGGGUGACGGUCCCGUUGCCUCUUUGCGGACGAGUGACCGAAGACAAGGAAGUUCAAAUGUCUCCCGCCGAGUUGGAAGAUAAAUCCGUGCAAACAAUGACGGAUGUCCAGGAUUUUGCGGUCCAAACUGAUUUGAUUGUCUGUCAUUCCGCCGGCGCAGAAGAAAAGUCCUAUCGAGAUCAGGGCGUUCAGUUCUACGAGGAACGGCCCAUGUUCGCGGAAGAAGAUUCCCAGACGGAUGGGCAGGUGAUGACCCUGGAGGAAUUCCGCGACGUUGAGAGCUACUACGUCCAGCAGAUUGAAAUCCUGCAGAAGGAGAAGGCCAGCCAUCGCAAAAAGUUCCAGGCCAGUCGGGACGAAACGACCAAGUCGGUGCAGCAGCUGGAACUGUUGGGCCGCCAGUUUCAAGAGCGCGAGCGGCAAUUCGAAGAGAUUUUGCAGAAGAACUGCCGCGCAUUCGAGCGGGAACUCGAAACGGCCCGCGAACUCAACAACAACGAGCUCUCCACGCUCAAGGAAUGUCUCCAGCUGGUCUGGCACGAAGUCAAAGACUACGCCAAUGUGACGGACAUGCCCAAAACGUCGGUCAUGGAGUUCACUCAGGCGCUGAUCAGUUCGCUUCACGGAAUUUGCAACGAGCUGGGCCAACUGAGAGUCCGUGUAGUCGAUCUCGCCGAUAUGGAGCAAGCCUUCCAGACGACGUUGCGACAGGCAGACGGGCUCGUCCAUCACAUGGAAGAGAAGCAUCUGCAGCGCAUCAGAGAGCUGGAACAUAUAGAACACGAACUUAGGAUCCAGUUGAAUCAUCCGACUGGAAGUCACCAAAGCUACGACAUGGAUGGAAGUCUCGAAAUCAAAAUACAAGAACUGGAGCAGGAAAAGGACGCUCUGUCGUUGCAGGUCGGCAAGUGCCAAGAAUUGGAAGACUAUUGCCAACGACUUCAUGGCCGGCUGGAAGAGUAUGAGCAACGUGAACGAAGCUUGCAUCAAGCCGUCCAAGAUACGGAACGCCGCUUUUCCACCAGAGAGCAAAGAUAUCGCGAAGAAAUUCAGUUGAUGAAAACAGAGCUGGACAAGUGUCGCGAAAAUGAAGCGACCUGGCGUCAACGACUGGAGCAGAGGGACAGUCAACUGGGCCUCAUGAGGAACGAACUGGAGGCCGAACAAAAGACCAUCGCCAGUUUAGAGUUAGAAGUCAAGGAGUUGCAAUCCAAAUUAGAUAAGGACGACACCUCCUUCAGAAACGAGGUGACCAAGUUGCGUUCGCAGCUCACUACCUCUCUGGCGCAGCUGAACGAGCUCGAGUCACUUAACUGCCAACUUCGCGAGAAAAUCGUCGAAUACCAGAACACGAUUUACUCUCUGCAGAGGAGCCUAGACGAGAAGAGUUGCCAAAAUGGGAAUCUAAUGGCAGAAAAUAACCGACUGGCCCAGGCUCAGAUGGAAAUUAUGAGCAUGUCUAUGGUCGCCAUGGCCAAACCGCUGACUGAAGAGCUGCUAGAAAUCGAGUCGGAUGAAGGCUGCAUGUCACCCGAACCUGUCGCCGCCACAAGCGAAACCGCUGCUACGCUGGACGACUUUCAAGAAAUUUCAUUGCCCACGACGCCGACCGUUGUGGACGGCUGCAACAACGUCUUUGAGGAACAUUUCAAAGUACUCGAGUCGUUGGAGAGUUACCUGGAAACGCAGCAUCUGACUGGAGCGACGGCCGAAGAUAACGACGAGUCGGGAAUUUCCACAUCACCUUCGAUUCACGAGAACGAGAAUUUUGCGCUGUUGGAAGCUCAGUUGUCGCAGCUUCGAACCGAGAAGCACUUUUUGCUCAAUUCGGUUGUCAACAGUCAGAAGAAAGAUGAGGUCAUUCAAAUCUUGGUCGACCAACUCAAAUACAACGCGCCCCGUCAAUACCUGAUUGAAACGGCGGCGCAUAUCCGCAAGAUCGCCACUAAUGGCGACUACGACGCGAACCAACAUCGCACGCAUGACAAAGAUAUCGAUCGCGUUUGCUCCAUGCUGGAAGCCCCGAUUGAUCUGAAAUCACUCGUCUAAAUCUCUCUAUAUCUCGUUUCGGGUGAUGGCCAUUUUCGUUUCUAUUUUUGACCAAAAAUUAUGUAACCACUCACGGCAAUGACCGACCUAACGACUGAGG
Molecule: unclassified non-coding RNA, 4640 nt
Filed under: Daphnia pulicaria
Lineage: Eukaryota; Metazoa; Arthropoda; Branchiopoda; Diplostraca; Daphniidae
Description: protein MLP1-like, transcript variant X6
Source: RNAcentral